Molecule: non-coding RNA, 175 nt
Organism: Macaca mulatta (Rhesus monkey)
Lineage: Eukaryota; Metazoa; Chordata; Mammalia; Primates; Cercopithecidae
Source: RefSeq, a predicted model, not a curated record
UGGAAGGCUGCAGGAGCGCUACCGGUGCCAGAACUGCCAGAGCGGGAGGAGCGCGGCGCGGGCCAGCUGGGACUGCUGGACAGCGGGGUCCAGGCUAGAGGGGAGCGGUCCACCUCCUAACAAAUUAUUGGAAGGAAUAUGAGAAAAAAAUGCAGAGUCUCACCAUGUUGCUCAG